Molecule: ribosomal RNA, 494 nt
Filed under: uncultured bacterium
Lineage: Bacteria
Description: partial 16S ribosomal RNA
Rfam family: Bacterial small subunit ribosomal RNA
Source: RNAcentral
GACGAACGCUGGCGGCGUGCUUAACACAUGCAAGUCGAACGGAAAGGCCUGCUUUCCCCUGUGGAUUGCGGGUACUCGAGUGGCGAACGGGUGAGUAACACGUGAGUGAUCUGCCCCCAACUUGGGUAUAAGCCUGGGAAACUGGGUCUAAUUCCCGAUAGGACUGCAGGGUGGUGCCUGUGGUGGAAAACGAUUUUCUAGUGGUUGGGGAUGAGCUCGCGGCCUAUCAGCUUGUUGGUGGGGUAAUGGCCUACCAAGGCGGCGACGGGUAGCCGGCCUGAGAGGGUGGACGGCCACAUUGGGACUGGGAUACGGCCCCGACUCCUACGGGAGGCAGCAGUGGGGAAUAUUGCACAAUGGGCGGAAGCCUGAUGCAGCGACGCCGCGUGGGGGAUGACGGCCUUCGGGUUGUAAACUCCUUUCGACCGCGAGGAAGCCACCUGGUUGGAAGGGUGGUGACGGUAGUGGUAGAAGAAGCACCGGCUAACUACGUG